This 320-nucleotide long non-coding RNA is filed under the name Manihot esculenta (cassava). RNAcentral's name for it is "long non-coding RNA (MESC_LNC001635)". The record is from RNAcentral. Lineage: Eukaryota; Viridiplantae; Streptophyta; Magnoliopsida; Malpighiales; Euphorbiaceae.
UUUGCGGCAUUCCCUCGACAAUCACUGGAUGAUCCCUCAAGCCGACUUAGCUUGUUUUCUUCGGAUUUUCCUGAGUUAUUUUCUUCAACCCCUUAUUCAGGGGAUUUCUGCUUUCCAACUCAGGAUCCAGUUAUUGGGGAGAGUUCAAGACCUCGAUCUCAACCUCCUGAUUUAAAUAUAUCUAUGGCUGACGAUGAUGUUGGAAAUUCUCAAGAAGCUCAACAGGAGCCAUCAUUUGACGGGCGUCGAUACAACACAAGACGCUCAAAUGAGAGGAGACCACGACAUUGUGGCACCGGCGGUCAUUUACAUGGUCAUCA